Molecule: transfer RNA, 73 nt
Filed under: Streptococcus suis 98HAH33
Lineage: Bacteria; Bacillati; Bacillota; Bacilli; Lactobacillales; Streptococcaceae
Description: tRNA-Lys (TTT) (tRNA-Lys-TTT-2-1)
Rfam family: tRNA
About the family: Transfer RNA (tRNA) molecules are approximately 80 nucleotides in length. Their secondary structure includes four short double-helical elements and three loops (D, anti-codon, and T loops).
Source: RNAcentral
GACUCGUUAGCUCAGUUGGUAGAGCAAUUGACUUUUAAUCAAUGGGUCGCUGGGUCGAGCCCAGCACGAGUCA